GAAGGGGCUCAACAGAACUGCUAACUCUCACACCUGAAAUUAAAACCUCAGACCCUUCA
RNAcentral lists this transfer RNA (59 nucleotides) under Phrynocephalus albolineatus. Its description in RNAcentral is "tRNA-Ser". The record is from RNAcentral. RNAcentral also lists the same sequence under 1 other name. Lineage: Eukaryota; Metazoa; Chordata; Lepidosauria; Squamata; Agamidae.